AUCUACCAACAAACAACAGCUUACCAGCGACAUCAGUCCUUCUUCUUCCACUCUCCAACAGCGACAUCAGGUCCUUCUUCCUCCACGGCGGCCCUUCUUCUUCCACACUCCAACAGGUCACAUUUACAAUCUAAAGUAAAUGGAAUCAAGAUGGUAUAAUAGACCUCGUACGGAUGAUGAUGGUAUGUUAAUGGCAGCGAUAAGAGAUGUGAUUGCUCAAGAUGUAAUGGAAUCACGAAGAAGAACAUAGUAUGACAUUAGUUUGUUAUUCUUGUGCAUUUUUUUCGUGUUUUUUAGCAAUCUGAAUGUAAUAUUAUUAUGUUCUAAUUAGGAAAUUUUAAACUAUAUGUAAACAAAUUUUAUGUUAUAUUUCAUGAAGUUGUUUUUCAA
Molecule: long non-coding RNA, 390 nt
Organism: Helianthus annuus (common sunflower)
Lineage: Eukaryota; Viridiplantae; Streptophyta; Magnoliopsida; Asterales; Asteraceae
Exons: 2
Source: RefSeq, a predicted model, not a curated record